UGCUGGGAGCGGCAGACGGGUGAGUAUCACGUUGGUAACUGCCUCGUAGUCGGGAAUAAGCCCUAGAAAUAGGGUCUAAUGCCGGAUAGUCCCGCAAGGGUAAAGCUUCGGCGCUAUGAGAGGUGCCUGCGGCCUAUCAGCUUGUUGGUGGGGUAAAAGCCUACCAAGGCUAUGACGGGUAGCUGGUUUGAGAGGAUGAUCAGCCACAAUGGAACUGAGACACGGUCCAUACUCCUACGGGAGGCAGCAGUAAGGAAUUUUGCGCAAUGGGGGAAACCCUGACGCAGCAACACCGCGUGAAGGAUGAAGGCCUUUUGGUUGUAAACUUCUUUUCUGAGAGAAUAAAUAUGAAUGUACCUCAGGAAUAAGCACCGGCUAACUCCGUGCCAGCAGCCGCGGUAAGACGGAGGGUGCAAGCGUUAUCCGGAUUUAUUGGGCGUAAAGAGUCCGUAGGCGUAGUGUUAAGGUAGAAUAUCAAAGACCAGAGCUCAACUCUGGGCCGGUAUUCUAAACUGGCAAAAUUGAGUGAUGCAGAG
RNAcentral lists this ribosomal RNA (536 nucleotides) under uncultured organism. RNAcentral describes it as "bacterial SSU rRNA". It matches the Rfam family "Bacterial small subunit ribosomal RNA", at positions 87 to 656 of the family's 1533-position model. The record is from RNAcentral.